GACGAACGCUGGCGGCGCGCUUAACACAUGCAAGUCGAACGGAAAGGCCCUGCUUUUGUGGGGUGCUCGAGUGGCGAACGGGUGAGUAACACGUGAGUAACCUGCCCUUGACUUUGGGAUAACUUCAGGAAACUGGGGCUAAUACCGGAUAGGAGCUCCUGCUGCAUGGUGGGGGUUGGAAAGUUUCGGCGGUUGGGGAUGGACUCGCGGCUUAUCAGCUUGUUGGUGGGGUAGUGGCUUACCAAGGCUUUGACGGGUAGCCGGCCUGAGAGGGUGACCGGCCACAUUGGGACUGAGAUACGGCCCAGACUCCUACGGGAGGCAGCAGUGGGGAAUAUUGCACAAUGGGCGGAAGCCUGAUGCAGCAACGCCGCGUGCGGGAUGACGGCCUUCGGGUUGUAAACCGCUUUCGCCUGUGACGAAGCGUAAGUGACGGUAAUGGGUAAAGAAGCACCGGCUAACUACGUG
Molecule: ribosomal RNA, 468 nt
Filed under: uncultured bacterium
Lineage: Bacteria
Description: partial 16S ribosomal RNA
Rfam family: Bacterial small subunit ribosomal RNA
Source: RNAcentral